AUCGAUGAAGAACGCAGCGAAAUGCGAUAAGUAAUGUGAAUUGCAGAAUUCAGUGAAUCAUCGAAUCUUUGAACGCAAAUUGCGCUCCUUGGUAUUCCGAGGAGCAUGCCUGUUUGAGUGUCAUGAAAUCAUCCACCUCUACUUUGGGCUUUUGUCCGGGGUUCUGGCUGGGAGUUGGGUGUUUGCCUGCGAGAGCUGGCUCACCUUAAAUGAAUUUCGGUCUGACUAGUGGCUAAUGGCCGGUUUGACUUGGCGUUAUAAGUUAUUUCGCUAAGGACAUCCUUCGGGGUGGCCGAUCAUGGACUCUGGUCUCGCUUCUAACGAGGCAACAUAUUUUGACAUCUGGCCUCAAAUCAGGUAGGACUACCCGCUGAACUUAAGCAUAUCAAUAAGCGGAGGAAAAGAAACUAACAAGGAUUCCCCUAGUAACGGCGAGUGAAGCGGGAAGAGCUCAAAUUUGAAAUCUGGUGGACUUCGUUCAUCCGAGUUGUAAUCUAUAGAAGUGUUUUCCGUGCUGGCUCAUGUACAAGUCCCUUGGAACAGGGCGUCAUAGAGGGUGAGAAUCCCGUACUUGACAUGAACCACCAGUGCUCUGUGAUACACUUUCAACGAGUCGAGUUGUUUGGGAAUGCAGCUCAAAAUGGGUGGUAAAUUCCAUCUAAAGCUAAAUAUUGGCGAGAGACCGAUAGCGAACAAGUACCGUGAGGGAAAGAUGAAAAGCACUUUGGAAAGAGAGUUAAACAGUAUGUGAAAUUGUUAAAAGGGAAACGAUUGAAGUCAGUCGUGCCUUGUGGACUCAGCCGGUUAUGCCGGUGUACUUCCACUUGGCGGGGUCAACAUCAGUUUUGCUCGCUGGAAAAGGUCACAAGGAAGGUAGCACUCUCGGGUGAACUUAUAGCCUUGUGUCAUAUACGGCGGGUGGGACUGAGGAACGCAGCAUGCCUUCGGGCCGGUCUUCGGACACGUACAUGCUUAGGAUGUUGACAUAAUGGCUUUAAACGACCCGUCUUGAAACACGG
This 1019-nucleotide ribosomal RNA is filed under the name uncultured Basidiomycota. RNAcentral's name for it is "eukaryotic LSU rRNA". The stretch from base 344 to 1019 matches the Rfam family "Eukaryotic large subunit ribosomal RNA", at positions 1 to 664 of the family's 3401-position model. Lineage: Eukaryota; Fungi; Basidiomycota. The record is from RNAcentral.